UUGCCCCUAUAGAGUUGACAUUUGGGAUGGGGGGAGGCAGACAACUAAAAAACAUAAGUAAAAUAAUAUGUUAGCUAGAAUAGGAACAUGAUUGUUGGAUGGGGAAGAUUCAGGGGCUGUGGGUUGGAAUUUUAAACAGGGUAGUGACAGGGUUCCAGAUACAUCACCUCAGAAUGGCACUCCCUCAUACGGAAUAGUGUAAGCUGAAGGAAUUUGUGAAAUGGCAGGUGCUGGAAGGACUCUAUGACCCCCCCGGCCCCCCGCCCCCAAAGCAGGUCGUAAAGCCCGCUUGGGAGAGGUGCCCUCCCCUUACCUGGAAGAAAGUAACAUCCUUCUCUCUGAAGACACCAGGACUCAGCAAGGAAUCCAAACAAACAGCUGUGGGUAAGUUCCCCCAGUUCACCACCCUUAGCUGGUACCCUUUGUCCUACCGGUCUUCAUCGAACCCAGAGUAAGAAAACACUCCGGCUUAACCUUGUUUGGGGGCGUCAUUUGUUUCUGAAGGCUAAUUUGCGUGCUCUUCUCUUGUCAAUCUGCCUUUUGUUACGGAGACCCAGCUGAGCACCUGGAAAGGGCAGAAGGGACCAGCAGUGGUCUGGAGAAGGCCUCCCAGAGAAGAUGAGAUUUGAGCAAAGUCUGAAGGGAGGUGAUGGAAACGCCAUGUAGAAAUCUGGGGGAAGGCAGCUCCAAGCAGAGAGAACAAUAAAGAGGAACACUGUGGUUUUUCUUAUCUUCUUGGAAUGGAGUGCUUCAAGCAGGCCCGAAAUCAACCCACUGAAUAUGUACUUAUAAAUACACGUAUUUCAACAAACUGCUGUGUGUUUAUGCUCAAAUCUAUACACCCAGGCACAGUGCUUGGCAUCCAGGUACAAGGUCGACUGAGGCAUGUUCUCUGUGCUCAGAAGCUCGCAGUCAGUGAGGGAAAAACAGAAGCUGAUGACUACAAUUCAUUGUUGGAAAUGCAAUUAUGGCCUUAUGUUGGGAUAUUACUUAUAUUA
This is a long non-coding RNA of Prionailurus viverrinus (fishing cat), 998 nucleotides long. RefSeq lists it as uncharacterized. The record is from RefSeq and is a predicted model, not a curated record. The transcript is spliced from 3 exons. NCBI's taxonomy places the organism in Eukaryota, Metazoa, Chordata, Mammalia, Carnivora, Felidae.